UACGUAGGGGGCAAGCGUUGUCCGGAAUCAUUGGGCGUAAAGAGCGUGUAGGCGGCCCGGUAAGUCCGCUGUGAAAGUCGGGGGCUCAACCCUCGAAUGCCGGUGGAUACUGUCGGGCUAGAGUGCGGUAGGGGAGACUGGAAUUCCUGGUGUAGCGGUGAAAUGCGCAGAUAUCAGGAGGAACACCGGUGGCGAAGGCGGGUCUCUGGGCCGUAACUGACGCUGAGGAGCGAAAGCGUGGGGAGCGAACAGG
RNAcentral lists this ribosomal RNA (253 nucleotides) under uncultured bacterium. RNAcentral's name for it is "partial 16S ribosomal RNA". It matches the Rfam family "Bacterial small subunit ribosomal RNA", at positions 524 to 776 of the family's 1533-position model. The record is from RNAcentral.